RNAcentral lists this long non-coding RNA (548 nucleotides) under Capra hircus (goat). Its description in RNAcentral is "lncRNA (ENSCHIG00000005062.1)". The record is from RNAcentral. Lineage: Eukaryota; Metazoa; Chordata; Mammalia; Artiodactyla; Bovidae.
CAGAUGUCAUGGGUCCCAUAAACACAAAAGAGGCAUUUUUUGCCUGGUGGGGCACCCUCUAACCUUGUCUCAAUAAGAGGGUAAUAUAACAAGGGUAUAUUUGAUAGGUUUAUAAAUGGUAAGAAUGACUCCACCAGCCAGGACAUCCAUUACCAAUGGCGGGGAACCAGCUAAAAGUCGUAUCAGGAGGCAGAGAUGAGAAGCAUGGUUAAGAACUUCUUAGUGGUAUUAGAUCUCACACCAGGUCAUAUGGGUGGACUUCAUAUGAGUAUCACAGAACACUGGUGGCACAAAAUACUAUUGGAUCACAGAAGAGAGAAUGAAUUCCACCUGGAAUGGCUUCCUAGAGGAACUAACGGUUGAGCUAGGUACUUUCUAACCUUCUGAUUCAUGGAGAUAAAAUCGACAUAUAACAUUGUUCAAGGUGUACAGCAGAAUCACUUGGCUUACAUAUAUUGUGAUACAACAACCACAGUAAGUUUACUUCACAUCUAUCAUCUCAUAUAAAUACAAAGAAAGAAAAAAGAAAAAAAGAUUGUUUUAUUUUU